AGUUCAUAUCGACGGCGGUGUUUGGCACCUCGAUGUCGGCUCAUCACAUCCUGGGGCUGAAGUAGGUCCCAAGGGUAUGGCUGUUCGCCAUUUAAAGUGGUACGCGAGCUGGGUUUAGAACGUCGUGAGACAGUUCGGUCCCUAUCUGCCGUGGGCGCUGGAGAACUGAGGGGGGCUGCUCCUAGUACGAGAGGACCGGAGUGGACGCAUCACUGGUGUUCGGGUUGUCAUGCCAAUGGCACUGCCCGGUAGCUAAAUGCGGAAGAGAUAAGUGCUGAAAGCAUCUAAGCACGAAACUUGCCCCGAGAUGAGUUCUCCCUGAGACUUAGAGUCUCCUGAAGGAACGUUGAAGACGACGACGUUGAUAGGCCGGGUGUGUAAGCGCAGCGAUGCGUUGAGCUAACCGGUACUAAUGAACCGUGAGGCUUAACCUUAC
This 436-nucleotide ribosomal RNA is filed under the name Salmonella enterica subsp. enterica serovar Typhimurium str. LT2-4_delta.ramA::kan. Its description in RNAcentral is "bacterial LSU rRNA". It matches the Rfam family "Bacterial large subunit ribosomal RNA", at positions 2497 to 2925 of the family's 2925-position model. The record is from RNAcentral. Lineage: Bacteria; Pseudomonadati; Pseudomonadota; Gammaproteobacteria; Enterobacterales; Enterobacteriaceae.